GAUGGCGACCGGCGCACGGGUGAGUAACACGUAUCCAACCUGCCGAUGACUCGGGGAUAGCCUUUCGAAAGAAAGAUUAAUACCCGAUGGCAUAGUUCUUCCGCAUGGUAGAACUAUUAAAGGAUUUCGGUCAUCGAUGGGGAUGCGUUCCAUUAGGUUGUUGGCGGGGUAACGGCCCACCAAGCCUUCGAUGGAUAGGGGUUCUGAGAGGAAGGUCCCCCACAUUGGAACUGAGACACGGUCCAAACUCCUACGGGAGGCAGCAGUGAGGAAUAUUGGUCAAUGGACGAGAGUCUGAACCAGCCAAGUAGCGUGCAGGAAGACGGCCCUAUGGGUUGUAAACUGCUUUUAUAAGGGAAUAAAGUGAGUCUCGUGAGACUUUUUGCAUGUACCUUAUGAAUAAGGACCGGCUAAUUCCGUGA
Molecule: ribosomal RNA, 422 nt
Filed under: uncultured bacterium
Lineage: Bacteria
Description: bacterial SSU rRNA
Rfam family: Bacterial small subunit ribosomal RNA
Source: RNAcentral